This 253-nucleotide ribosomal RNA is filed under the name uncultured bacterium. Its description in RNAcentral is "partial 16S ribosomal RNA". It matches the Rfam family "Bacterial small subunit ribosomal RNA", at positions 524 to 776 of the family's 1533-position model. The record is from RNAcentral.
UACAGAGGGGCCAAGCGUUAGGCGGAAUCACUGGGCUUAAAGCGUGUGUAGGCGGGUCGUUAAGUACCUUGUGAAAUCCCACGGCUCAACCGUGGAACUGCUCGGUAUACUGGCGAUCUUGAGCCACUUAGGGGCUACCGGAACAAAUGGUGGAGCGGUGAAAUGCGUAGAUAUCAGGAGGAACACCGAUGGCGAAGGCAGGUCUCUGGGCCGCUACUGACGCUGAGAAGCGAAAGCAUGGGGAGCGAACAGG